GUUUAUGUAGCUUAAACCAACUUUAAAGCAAGACANUGAAAAUGCCUAGAUGGGUCUACACACCCCAUAAACA
RNAcentral lists this transfer RNA (73 nucleotides) under Mandrillus leucophaeus (drill). Its description in RNAcentral is "partial tRNA-Phe". The record is from RNAcentral. Lineage: Eukaryota; Metazoa; Chordata; Mammalia; Primates; Cercopithecidae.